This 128-nucleotide small nuclear RNA is filed under the name Carlito syrichta (Philippine tarsier). RNAcentral's name for it is "U4 spliceosomal RNA (ENSTSYG00000023981.2)". It matches the Rfam family "U4 spliceosomal RNA". From Rfam's summary of the family: U4 small nuclear RNA (U4 snRNA) is a component of the major U2-dependent spliceosome. The structure of U4 snRNA from yeast and human has been reported. U4 snRNA presents a k-turn RNA motif in the 5p-SL related to recognition of Snu13 protein. The record is from Rfam by way of RNAcentral. Lineage: Eukaryota; Metazoa; Chordata; Mammalia; Primates; Tarsiidae.
AGCUUUGUAUAGUGGCAGUAUCAUAGCCAAUGAGGUUUAUCUGAGGUGUGACUAUUGCUAAUUAGGGAAAAAAAUAAAAUUCUAGGAGACUGCUGCUCUAAAGGAUGUCUUGGCACUGCCAGAUGGAA